This 510-nucleotide ribosomal RNA is filed under the name uncultured bacterium. RNAcentral describes it as "bacterial SSU rRNA". It matches the Rfam family "Bacterial small subunit ribosomal RNA", at positions 28 to 525 of the family's 1533-position model. The record is from RNAcentral.
GACGAACGCUGGCGGCGUGCUUAAAACAUGCAAGUCGAACGGACUUCUCAUGAAGCUUGCGAUUGAGAAGUUAGUGGCGGACGGGUGAGUAACGCGUGGGCAACCUGCCCCUGAGCCCGGGAUAACAGUUCGAAAGGACUGCUAAGACCGGAUAUACUUGCGGUGAAGCAUUUCACUGCAAGGAAAGGGAACGCUCAGGGAUGGGCCCGCGUCCCAUUAGCUAGUUGGUGAGGUAAAGGCUCACCAAGGCGACGAUCUGUAGCGGGUCUGAGAGGAUGAUCCGCCACGACUGGAACUGAGACACGGUCCAGACUCCUACGGGAGGCAGCAGUGGGGAAUUUUGGACAAUGGGGGCAACCCUGAUCCAGCCAUGCCGCGUGAGUGAAGAAGGCCUUCGGGUUGUAAAGCUCUUUCGGUCCGGGAAGAAAUCGCAUGGGUUAAUACCCUGUGCGGAUGACGGUACCGGCAUAAGAAGCACCGGCUAACUACGUGCCAGCAGCCGCGGUAACG